Molecule: ribosomal RNA, 524 nt
Filed under: uncultured bacterium
Lineage: Bacteria
Description: partial 16S ribosomal RNA
Rfam family: Bacterial small subunit ribosomal RNA
Source: RNAcentral
UGGGGAAUAUUGCACAAUGGGCGAAAGCCUGAUGCAGCAACGCCGCGUGCGGGAUGACGGCCUUCGGGUUGUAAACCGCUUUCAGCAGGGACGAAGGUUUUCUGACGGUACCUGCAGAAGAAGCACCGGCUAACUACGUGCCAGCAGCCGCGGUGAUACGUAGGGUGCGAGCGUUGUCCGGAAUUAUUGGGCGUAAAGAGCUUGUAGGCGGUCCGUUGCGUCGGAAGUGAAAACUCAGGGCUUAACCCUGAGCCUGCUUUCGAUACGGGCGGACUUGAGGGAUGUAGGGGAGAACGGAAUUCCUGGUGGAGCGGUGGAAUGCGCAGAUAUCAGGAGGAACACCAGUGGCGAAGGCGGUUCUCUGGACAUUUCCUGACGUCGGAGAAGCGAAAGCGUGGGGAGCAAACAGGCUUAGAUACCCUGGUAGUCCACGCCGUAAAGGUGGCACUAGGUGUGGACCCAUUCCACGGGUUCCGUGCCGUAGCUAACGCAUUAAGUGCCCCGCCUGGGGAGUACGGCCGCAA